UAAUAUUACAAACUUUUCAUGUAUAUAUAUCCAAAUGAUGAUAAAAUUAUUGCUCUGAUAAUUUUAACAAUAAAUAAAUAAACAAUAGCAAUAUAGUUAAAGAGAAUUAAAAAAUAAUACAAAAUAAUAAUAAAAAAAUUAUUAUGUCUUUAGUUUUAAUUAAAUUUGUAAGGAGGAAUAAACGAGAUUCACCAAAAAUUGCUCUGCAGUUGAUCACAAUCAUCAGGUUGAACACCCCUGUUAUAUUCAAAUAUUUGGACAACAGUAACCUAAAAUCUACCAAAAACAUGCAUAUUGAUAAUAUCUCUUCAUAUAUCAAGUUUAACCAAAAUUAUUUGUUCAAAUUAAAUCUUUGAUUUAAAAUUAAUGCUUAUUUUAUCUAAAUAAUAAUUAUUCUCUGUCAGAUUAUUGUUUUUCUAAUUCAAUAUUAAAUGUGGUAGCUUUUUAUAUGAGAA
RNAcentral lists this long non-coding RNA (455 nucleotides) under Androctonus crassicauda. The record is from RNAcentral. Lineage: Eukaryota; Metazoa; Arthropoda; Arachnida; Scorpiones; Buthidae.